AUAGGCUAGGCUAGGCAAGGCUAGGUUAAAAUGGCUAGGCUCGGGUCCGCUUCGCUACGCAGCAAAAAUGUCUCGCGCUGGAGCCAAACGGAGCCGGGACGAGCGGAUCCAACGCUAAGGUAGACUCGGUUCGGUCGGCCCCGGAUCCUCUGCCGCGGGUCUGCUCGCGGGUCCGCUCGCUCGGCCGCGGGUCCUCGAGGCCGACCGCGGGUCUGCUCGCUCGGCCGCGGGUCCGCUCCCUUGCCGCUUUGCUGCAAAUUGUGCCGGAGAGUGCAGCCGACCAGCAGCGGUGCUACCGACAUGAUCCCAUCAAAAUGCUGAUCCAGAACCUCUUGUGCUACAUCAACAGGUACUGUCAAAAAAGGCAUAAAAGCACAUGGUUGAAGCUCUUAAAGAAGAUCUGAGAAAGAGAAAAUGCCCUGAUCCUAACACAGCCCCUCCAUGAUACGGACAGACUCGGAGAAUUACCAGGUAUUGUGAAAAACUGAAGGAGGUUGUGUCAGCAAUGAAGGUUCCUCCUCUCUCACCGGAACCCUCAUGCUCUACAUCAUCCAGUGAUCUUCAGCCUGCUGUAUCAGCACCAGUUGAAAUAGUAAGGGCAGAGGCAGUAUGCACUGAAAAUAUGUUGUACUUUGAGAAACAAUUUUUUAGCCUGGUAUGUGUCAAAGUAACAUUUAUGUAAAUGGCUGGACAAAAGUGAUUGAAGCACAGCAUACAGGCUGACUACAUACAUGGUGCUGUUAAAAAAGAUUAUAAAGAAGUAUUAACCGUGCAGUCAAGGCCCCUCCUAAAACUAGAAAAUUUGACCAUAUUAGUCCAGUUCUAUGAGAACUGCACUGGUUAGCAGUCAAAGUCCGCAUAGACUGUAAAAUUGUCCUGUUAAAGUAAACAGCCCCAUAUGCAUUUCAAAAAGUCUGAAAUUUUUUUCUGUAUUUUAACAUCAAAACAAUCAACAUGAAAUGGACAAUCACCAUAUAUCAUACACUUUAGCUCAAAUAUAAUGGCACUCUUUUCCUUCUGUCAGCCAGUGUAGGUUAACUAGAUUUACCUUAUCUAGCUAGCACUACAUGGCAAAAUAAUUCUUACGCAUUAAUAUAAAUAGCUUGCUGCAAAGCUAGCUAGAUGCACCACUAAAUACACACAAAAUAUGUUACUAUAGUUGGAAAAGUAAUUUUAAAGAAGAAAUCCCUGGAAAAAUCUUAGUAGCCUGUAAAAAUAUCAACCUAGCUGGUUGGAGCUAACUCAUCAGCAGCAAACUACAUAUUUUAUUCAGCAGUUCGAGGUAAAGAGUUUAAAUCUUUUAACAGAAACCCAUAUUAAUAUUAAUUAUUCUACUUUGUCUUAGACAUUGACACAGGCUGCUUAGUUAGACUUACCAGCGUUAGUUAGGUUAACCAGCUAAAGUGCUGACCUUCUUAACCAGAAAUGACUUUUCAAGACCUAAAACAUAAUAUAACUGUAAAUGCACUGACAUCUUGUCUUUACCAUUUCUUAAGUGUUUGGUUUGAUUUGUGUGUUGAAGGCUGUUUUUUAUGUUUAAGUCUGAGAGAAGCAUUUUGUGCAUAUUUUUGUGCACCUUUCUCAUUCCUUAGAGAGAUAAACUGCUUCAAGUGUCAUCUCCCACCUUGGCGUUUAAAUCGUCCAUCAGAAUUUUCAUGUCUCUUUUUGGUGUCCGGUCAAAAAGGGACUGUAAAGAGCUGUAGAAGCCAGCUUUCACCGGCACAUGUCAUGGGUCCCCCUAAAAAGAAGUCUUCCUGUCCAGGCAGUUACUGGGAUGAAGUUGUUGUUGCAAUUUCUGUAGCAAGAGUUUUAGUAAGGUGGGGUUGCUAGCCUGUCACAUAUUAAGUAUACUUAACUAAUGUAUAUUUAAAUGUGAAACCAUUUUUAGAUUAUUACUUUAAAUAUAAAACAAAUUGAAAGAUUUGCUUUUUAUACUAUACUUUAAUCCAACUUAAACAAUUGAAUUGACUUCACUCACAUUCUGAAGCAAACAUGCCUCAAGUGUCACAUAAAGUUAAAUGAGUUAAUUUCUUAUCACAUUCAGGUAAUAAAAUGUACAUUAUUGUCAUGUAAUAUGUAUGUUGUAUGUAUGUAUGUAUCGGUGUAUAAUUAAAAACAUUCUUACAUUCAUCUUUACAUAAACUCUAUCUUUAAAUUAAGUAUUGUAGUAUAAAGUAAGUUUUGUAGCAUUGUAUAUUGUAUUUUUAUGCUUUCAACUUUAAAAUUAAACAGAAAGAAAAUUGGACUAAA
This is a long non-coding RNA of Astyanax mexicanus (Mexican tetra), 2250 nucleotides long. RefSeq lists it as uncharacterized. NCBI's taxonomy places the organism in Eukaryota, Metazoa, Chordata, Actinopteri, Characiformes, Acestrorhamphidae. The transcript is spliced from 4 exons. The record is from RefSeq and is a predicted model, not a curated record.